This is a long non-coding RNA of Fukomys damarensis (Damara mole-rat), 572 nucleotides long. RefSeq lists it as uncharacterized. The transcript has 3 exons. The record is from RefSeq and is a predicted model, not a curated record. NCBI's taxonomy places the organism in Eukaryota, Metazoa, Chordata, Mammalia, Rodentia, Bathyergidae.
UUCAUUGUCCAAAUAAAGGGACUAAUGUAGAUGAAGAAUUUACAAAAUGGUUCCCUGGAGGAAGAAAGAAACUUUUAUGGCUAGAAAGCCGAGGGUCACACCAGGGGCAAUGAGCAUUGAAACAUAUUUUGAAAGAAUGCAUGCUGGGAACAAACUGGACUUGGAAACAGGAACAAACAUUGGUUGGCACCAGUUCUGAGAAGGUCUCUUUAAGAACUUGGACCUGCAUUGUGGAGACUCCGCGGAGCUCGGCUCACAGGAGCAACUUUGCUGGACAUCUCGAUGACCUCUACCACCCUACCACUCGGGCACAGAGGGAAAAAUGGCACAAAAUCCGAGUACUUCGAAUCUUCCUUGUCUUAACCUAGAAACUAUAUUGAGCAUAUAAGGACAACAGGGAAGACUGAUUUGAAAGGCAACAUGUGGUUUACUCAUGCCCGGUCAUUUGUUUAUGGCUUAGAUCAUUAUAUCUUCUAUUAGGAAAUUAUCCUUCCUUGGAAAUGCUGUUUGUUUUAAUGUCUGCCCCCUUCCUUCCUCUCCUUCUCUUUUACAUAUGUCCUUUGCCCAUCCUU